AAAUGCUGGUUACCCUGGCACCAGGAUAGUGCUGUAUUAGCUAUUUGGAAGAAAUCUCCCAGUGAUAUCAAUGGGAGUAUCGAUGCAACAAGGACUUCAGGAGACUGGGAUUUUGAACAAUCCAUAAGAAAUGUUGUGAAAAUAACCCAUUGCUUAGCUGCAAGCCAACAGAGCAAGGGAAAUGCUGUGAAGUCAUUCUGA
RNAcentral lists this long non-coding RNA (201 nucleotides) under Crocodylus porosus (Australian saltwater crocodile). Its description in RNAcentral is "lncRNA (ENSCPRG00005008962.1)". Lineage: Eukaryota; Metazoa; Chordata; Crocodylia; Crocodylidae. The record is from RNAcentral.